This 1249-nucleotide long non-coding RNA is filed under the name Salmo salar (Atlantic salmon). Its description in RNAcentral is "lncRNA (ENSSSAG00000114767.1)". The record is from RNAcentral. Lineage: Eukaryota; Metazoa; Chordata; Actinopteri; Salmoniformes; Salmonidae.
UUUACAAGUAGGAAAACAGCUGUUUGAAAAAGAAUCUAUGACUCUACAGAAUAUUAUUCAAACUAUAGAUUUAAAGGUCAAGAUAUACUGUCUGUAUACGAAACUUGUCAGAAGAUGUCUGAUUGUCCGUUUUGCUGACACGUUAUGCGAACUUUACAAAUAAGAUAUUGACCACUCAAAUUCCAGUGUGCAUGGUACAAAAACUGUAGGUUAGGAAAUCGAGAUUUGAAUUUGAUUGAUGUACUAUGGCUUUUCACCUUUUCAAAUUUCCUCAUGUCCCAGUAGUUAAUGCACUUUGAGUACAGCGAAACUGAGAGCAGGUAGCUGAACAACAAAUGUUAUCUGUUAAUGUUGUCAUUUUUUAGGCUUGCUUCACACACAUUUUGCCCUGCUGACAUUCUUACUGUAGUUGAGCUCCCCAGUGUCGAAAGGAUUGCUUUGUUUGGAAUAGUAUGGGUUUAUGAGACUUAAAACAAUCAUAAUAGAGAUCUGUAAUGGGGAUAGCUUGCACUUUAGUGGCUGCAGAACUAAAGGGAAUGGACUUUAAGAUGGAGCUCAAAAGACAGUUAAAUCUUGUAUUUAAACCAUAUAAUGCAGAAGAUGACCUUUUUCACCUCUUGAGUUUUUUAAGACUUGUGUAGGGCACUGGUGGGGAUUGUUUUAUUUACCUUCUUUGUGACUAUUUAGCAGGUAUCAUCUUAAUUAAAAUAAAUAUAUUGAUUUAAGGAAGUGGAGGAAUAUAGGAAUUGAACCUUAUGACACCCCUAUACCAAAGUGUAUUGACUGGAGAUGACCCUGCCCUGUUUCAGUCAUGUAUCUAUUUGGGGAAAAAAUACUUUCCUGGUUUUGAAUCUGUUCUGUUUAUUUAGAUGUUUUUACUUUUUUUAUGUAACUCUGUGAAGAAAUAUUUUUUUCUUUCAGAAACCAUUGAAAAUAAGCACUGAUGUUUGUACUUAAAAGAAGACGAACCCUGUCUGUUCUUUAAGUACACAGGGGCAGCUGAGUCCUGUGCUGUACCUUUCACAGACCUGGUAUAAAGUCCCUUUAACCCUCUUCUUCAUCUAGACCUGUAGAAAUACCCUAUGCCGUCUUGUUGUUGUCUAGUGUACAGCAGACCGUACAGUAAUUUGAUAAAGUUGCUAUAGCAUUUCAGCAAAGUUUCCUUCUUUUUUAAUUGAAAGUGCUCACUGAUGUUGAGAUUUUUUUUAAGGGUUUUAAAAACCAAUAAACUUUUUUUUAAGUACUUGGA